CAGACCCCCUCCUCAGAGAUCUUCUCCUAAAGAACUUCAAGCAGCCUAGAGUGUAACACAUCUGGAGAACAUCACCCUUCAGCCAUGAAGACCCUUUUCCUUUUGUUUGCUGCUCUCUUGUUCUUCAGUCAAAUUAUUUCAGGAAGUUCUCAGCCUGCCCCUGAUACCUUAGAAUGCAGGAGGAGUCACCAUGGAUUCUGUAAAUCCCGCUGUCCUCCGCACACUACGCCUACUGGAGGGAGCUGUCAGUGGGGAAGCCUGAUUUGCUGUAAAUCUAUUUAUAGGCAGAGAAAGUGAUAAUCAACCCAAAGGAAGACUUCUGGAUUCUAGAGAAAUACAUGCUGGCUUUGGAAAUUGGUGGCUUUGACUUCGAAGUCAAGAAUAAAGAGUCAUUUGUUUGGACUAUAAACAGACAUAAUGUUCUGCAAAGAAAUUCACAUUCCUCUC
Thamnophis sirtalis is the source of this 447-nucleotide long non-coding RNA. RefSeq lists it as uncharacterized. The record is from RefSeq and is a predicted model, not a curated record. NCBI's taxonomy places the organism in Eukaryota, Metazoa, Chordata, Lepidosauria, Squamata, Natricidae.